AGUGAACGCUGGCGGUAGGCCUAACACAUGCAAGUCGAACGGCAGCACAGUAAGAGCUUGCUCUUACGGGUGGCGAGUGGCGGACGGGUGAGGAAUACAUCGGAAUCUACUUUUUCGUGGGGGAUAACGUAGGGAAACUUACGCUAAUACCGCAUACGACCUACGGGUGAAAGCAGGGGAUCUUCGGACCUUGCGCGAUUGAAUGAGCCGAUGUCGGAUUAGCUAGUUGGCGGGGUAAAGGCCCACCAAGGCGACGAUCCGUAGCUGGUCUGAGAGGAUGAUCAGCCACACUGGAACUGAGACACGGUCCAGACUCCUACGGGAGGCAGCAGUGGGGAAUAUUGGACAAUGGGCGCAAGCCUGAUCCAGCCAUACCGCGUGGGUGAAGAAGGCCUUCGGGUUGUAAAGUCCUUUUGUUGGGAAAGAAAAGCAGCAGGUUAAUACCCCGCUGUUCUGACGGUACCCUAAGAACAAGCACCGGCUAACUUCGUG
This 492-nucleotide ribosomal RNA is filed under the name uncultured bacterium. RNAcentral's name for it is "partial 16S ribosomal RNA". It matches the Rfam family "Bacterial small subunit ribosomal RNA", at positions 29 to 507 of the family's 1533-position model. The record is from RNAcentral.